Myxocyprinus asiaticus (Chinese sucker) is the source of this 1224-nucleotide long non-coding RNA. RefSeq lists it as uncharacterized. The transcript has 4 exons. Lineage: Eukaryota; Metazoa; Chordata; Actinopteri; Cypriniformes; Catostomidae. The record is from RefSeq and is a predicted model, not a curated record.
GUCUGACAAGCACAAUUUUCUUUUCUGCAUUGAUGUAUUUGAACAAUGAAGAUUUGUUGCAUCUGACAGUUUUCAUCUGGAGAAAUCAGAUUCACCUGCCCCUGGUGUUUUGUCCAUGAAAAGUGACCGAUCAGUGAAAAUGCCAAUUCUGUUAAAAGAUGGAGAUUCUUUGUGUCAUCAAUGUUUUCAGCAGGAGAGAUCAAAAUCACCUGCACCCAGUGUUUUGUCCAUGAAAAGUUACUGAUCAAUGAAAAUGCAAAUUCAUUUAAAAGAUGGAGAUUCUUCAUGUGAUCAAAGUUAGGGGAUCAUAGACGUGUCCCCACGGGACGCCGGGAAUGCGGAGGGGCGUUCUGUCCACUGGGGGUCGGAGGUCUGACUCCGGUCUGCCCGGGGAGGAGCGGCUGCAGUCUGCCUGAGAGAGUGAAGUAGUGAUCGAGGACCACACGACGGUGCAUCAAGGAACCGUCACCAGAACCGGCUGGAUCCAGCUCCAUUCCUGCUUUGUGUUGGACUCCACUGCUGCAUGUCUCUGAGUGAUGAUGACUAAUAGCAGCUGGUGCCAGCCAAACAUCACUUCAGUCUAUUACGUUGGACUUCAGAGGAUGAACUGAUGACAACUUCAACCAUAAGACAUGGACAUAUGCCAUUGCCUGAACCUUGGAUUUAGGAUAGACCUCACCGAAAUUACCGGCCGGAUGAACUGCGAUGCACCUCACAGAUCACUGCCAGCAUCACCUCAGUCUAAUGAUGGACUACACUCUUAUAAUGGAAUACAUAGACGAUCAAUUAAUUGCCAACAAAAGCCUUCAUCAGCCAGCUAACAAGGACAAUUGCCUCUAUGUGAACUUCUGCAGUUAAUCCAGGAUGGACUUCAAAGACAUUAGUCAUUAAUCAGUUCAUACAAAAUCUUUGUUUAAACACUGUCUCUUAACACUUACUUAGUUUGAUAAUUUUAAACCAUGACUUGCAAUAUACAUAAGUAAUAUUGGCAUUAUAUUCAUGAUGUUAGCCAGAGGGGAACUGGCCCCCACAGUGAGUCUGGUUUCUCCCAAGUUUAUUUUUCUCCAUUAACCAACAUCUUAUGGAGUUUUGUGUUCCUUGCCACAGUCGCCUUCGGCUUUCUCACUGGGUUUCUAAAUACAAUUAUUAUUUAAUUAUUUUUAAAUACAAUUCACAAUCAUAUUUUAUCAAACUACACAGUGAUGACUCUAAGACAUUAUAGAU